UUGCAAUGAUGAUUCAGUAACUAUUGAGAGUGUUCUAGAAUGCUCCAUGGAAGUCCGACAUUUAUGUCGAUCUGAGCGGUUACCUGAGCAA
Rosa chinensis is the source of this 91-nucleotide small nucleolar RNA. RefSeq annotates it as small nucleolar RNA snoR128. NCBI's taxonomy places the organism in Eukaryota, Viridiplantae, Streptophyta, Magnoliopsida, Rosales, Rosaceae. The record is from RefSeq and is a predicted model, not a curated record. The transcript has a single exon.